CCUACGGGGUGCAGCAGUGGGGAAUCUUGUUCAAUGGGCGCACGCCUGACCCAGCAACGCCGCGUGAAGGAAGAAGGCUUUCGGGUUGUAAACUUCUUUUCUCAGGGACGAAGCAAGUGACGGUACCUUAGGAAUAAGCCACGGCUAACUACGUGCCAGCAGCCGCGGUAAGACGUCGGUGUCAAGCGUUAUCCGGAUUUACUGUGUGUAAAGGGCGUGUAGGCGGGAAAGCAAGUCAGAUGUGAAAACCAUGGGCUCAACCUGUGGCCUGCAUUUGAAACUGUUUUUCUUGAGUACUGGAGAGGCAGACGGAAUGCCUAGUGUAGCGGUGAAAUGCGUAGAUAUUAGGAGGAACACCAGUGGCGAAGGCGGUCUGCUGGACAGCAACUGACGCUGAGGCGCGAAAGCGUGGGGAGCAAACAGGAUUAGAUACCCCUGUAGGC
RNAcentral lists this ribosomal RNA (443 nucleotides) under uncultured bacterium. Its description in RNAcentral is "partial 16S ribosomal RNA". It matches the Rfam family "Bacterial small subunit ribosomal RNA", at positions 338 to 795 of the family's 1533-position model. The record is from RNAcentral.